This 253-nucleotide ribosomal RNA is filed under the name uncultured bacterium. RNAcentral describes it as "partial 16S ribosomal RNA". It matches the Rfam family "Bacterial small subunit ribosomal RNA", at positions 524 to 776 of the family's 1533-position model. The record is from RNAcentral.
UACGGAGGGUGCAAGCGUUACUCGGAAUUACUGGGCGUAAAGCGCGCGUAGGCGGCUAGAUAAGUCGGAUGUGAAAGCCCCAAGCUCAACCUGAGAACUGCAUACGAUACUGUCUGGCUAGAGUAUGAGAGAGGGAGGUAGAAUUCCACGUGUAGCGGUGAAAUGCGUAGAUAUGUGGAGGAAUACCGGUGGCGAAGGCGGCCUCCUGGCUUAAUACUGACGCUGAGGUGCGAAAGCGUGGGGAGCAAACAGG